CGCGUAGGCGGCUUGCUAAGUAGGGGGUGAAAUCUCGCGGCUCAACCGCGGGGCUGCCUCCUAAACUGGCAGGCUCGAGCACGGUAGAGGCUGGUGGAAUUCCCGGUGUAGCGGUGGAAUGCGUAGAGAUCGGGAAGAACAUCGGUGGCGAAGGCGGCCAGCUGGGCCGUUGCUGACGCUGAUGCGCGACAGCGUGGGGAGCAAACA
RNAcentral lists this ribosomal RNA (207 nucleotides) under uncultured bacterium. Its description in RNAcentral is "partial 16S ribosomal RNA". It matches the Rfam family "Bacterial small subunit ribosomal RNA", at positions 568 to 774 of the family's 1533-position model. The record is from RNAcentral.